AAACAUUUAAACAUUUUUGAACGCAAACUCACAUUAACACUGAACCCGUGCGACCUUCUUUUAAAGAGCGCACCAUUACACUAAAUCUGUGCGACGCACCUGAAACGAACGCACCAUGGUUCGAGCGAGCUGUCAUUAUUUUUCAUUCGCGCAUGAUUGAUCCUGUUCGUGUCGCGCGUUUCGAGAGGAAAUUUCCGCGUAAAGUCGUGUGUCCCCGGGGAUGUGGAACAUCCCCGGCAUUUGUGCGUGUUCGCGGUGCUAAUAAUGGCCCCGAUCCCGGUGCUGGUUGGACAGUUCCGCCGGAAGACCGAAUCGGAAAGGUUCGGGGUUGGCGAAUAGGUGUUGCCGCUGUGAAGCAACAAUAUUUUUAGGGACACUUCUCCACGGUGGACCGGCUGCUGCUGCACACAUCCCGGACCGCCGUGGCGCGCCGAAAGUAUGUGUGGAAGCGCUGGCAAGGAGUGACUGCGUUCUCGGUGUAGGCUGGACCGCUGGAUAGAUCCACCGGAUGACGGAUCUAGUACGACUCAGGAAUGGUAACAAGGAGUUCAGCAACUACGUGGGCUUAUUUCACUGAGGAUUGUGCUUCUCGAUUACGCGAAUGUCCAUCCCAAGUACGAAGCAGUGAAUCCUGCACCGGCUACCGACAUUCCGGACAACGCCAAACAGUAACUGUUUGCUUGGCUGAUUGAAGCGGAAUCACAAAAGAAAACGACGCUAAAAAAAAGUGCUAAAUAAAGUGAAAAAAAUAAAAUACAAAUAAUAACGAUAAAAAUACUCAUUAUUUAUUGUAUUAUCCAUUAACUUCAAUGUCCAUUUAUAUUUUUUACCAUACAGUUUUGUGGAGAAAAAACAAUAAAUAAACGAUAAAACUUACUGUAGUUGUUAUUUAAUUCAAUGUACGGAUAUAGUUUUUACAGUACAUUUUGGUAGCGAAAAAACCACGAAGAACUGUAAAUUGACUGUGCAAUGCAUUGUAAUGCUUGCUGUUUUUAUUAUUAAUGUAUGAUGUUUUCUAUAGUCAGGACGAGUUUUUGGAUGAAAAAUGCAACAUUAGAUUAACAGUAAAAAGCGUCGUAUUUGGAAAAAAAUGUAUGGAAAAAUUUCGAAAUUUUUAUGGUACCGGUGCAUAACAACCCCCCUUUUUUAUGGUAAAAUCCCAAAAUACGACGCAAAUUAUCUUAAAAAACGAUGCUGUCUACUGUUAAAACACUGUCAAAAUGACAAUAUGUUUUAUCGUUUUGUAACGUUAAAAUUUACUGUAAGUUCAUCAGAA
Culex pipiens pallens (northern house mosquito) is the source of this 1276-nucleotide long non-coding RNA. RefSeq lists it as uncharacterized. The record is from RefSeq and is a predicted model, not a curated record. The transcript has 3 exons. Lineage: Eukaryota; Metazoa; Arthropoda; Insecta; Diptera; Culicidae.